AGCAGCUGAAGAGAAACCUAAAGAACUAGUAGUUGAAGAAAAAGCUGAAGAACCAACACGGGAAGAAACACCGGAAGAACUAGAAUUUGAAGAGAAACCUGAAGAACCAACUGUUGAAGAAACACCUGAACAAUUAGCAGUUGAAGAGAAAUCUGAAAAACCAGUGGUUAAAGAGGAGAAAUCUGAAAAGGUAACUCUCUUGGAAAAGGUGAGGAUCAAGCACUAUCACAAAGUUUAUCCAUCCUAUUAGUUUUGUACGUGCAAAGAUUCAUAUCUACUUAUCUAUUGAAAGAUUAAGUGAAACUUUAAAUUCUUCUUGCAGAAUAUGUCAGUUGUAGAUUUCAAUGACAAGACUAACAGUGAAAUUCCAUGCAAUACCAACAAUGAUGUUGCCGACUAUGUAUCAGUUGAGGCAAACCUUGAAGAACCAGUAGUUGAAGAAAAACCUGAAGAACCAACGGUUGAGAAGAAACCUGAAGAACCAGCUGUUGAAGAGAAAUCUGAAAAACCAUCAAUUGAGGAGAAACGUGAAGCACCAGCAUUUGAGAAGAAACCUGAAGAACCAACAAUUGAGGAGAAACAUGAAGAACAAACAAUUGAAGAGGAGAAACCUGAAAGGGUAACUCUCCUGGAAAAGGUGAGGAUCAAGCAUUGUCACAAAGUUUAUCCAUCUUAUUAGUUGUGUAUACGAUACGAUUUACAUAUGCUUACCUACUGAAAGACUAAGUAAGACUUUAAAGUUCUUUUCUUGCAGAGUAUGCCAGUUGUAGUCUCGAACGACAAAACUGACAGUAAAAUUCCAAGCAUUACCAACAAUAAUGAUGCUCGCUUUUCAGAAGUUGAGGAAAACCCUGAAGAACCUGAAGUUAAAGAAAAACCUGAAGAACCAACAGUUGAGGAGAAACCAGAAGAACCAACAGCUGAAGAGAAACCUGAAGAACCAGCAACUAAAGAAAAACAAGUGCAGAUAGGGGAGGAAACAGCUGAAGAACUACCGCUUGAAGAGAAACCUGAAGAACUAACGAUUGAACAGACAGAUGAAAAACUAGUUGUUGAAAAUAAAACUGAAAAACCAGCAAAUAAAGAGGAGAAACCUGAAACGGUAACUCUCCUUAAGCAGUGUCACAGAGUUUAUCCAUCCUAUUAGUUCUAUAUGUGUAACGAAUUCAUAUCUGUUUAUCUAUUGAAAUACUAAGUGAAAAUUUAAAUUUUCUUGCAGAAUUUGCCUAUUGCAGACUCAAAGGACAAGACUGACAUUGCAAUUCCAUGCGAUACCAGCAAUGAUAUUGCUGACUAUGCAACAGUUGAGGAAAAACCUGAAGAACCAGUAGUUGAAGAAAAACAUGAAGAACCUGCAAUUGAAAAGAAAUUUGAAGAACCAGCAGUUAUGGAGAAACCUGAAGAACCAGCGGCAAAGGUAAAACCUGAAGAACCAGCAGGGAAAGAAAAACCUGAAGAGCCAACGGCUGGGGAAAAACCUGAAGAACCAGCAGCAAAUGAGGAACCUGAAAAAUCAGCGAUGAAAGAGAAACCUGAAGAACCAAUUGUUGAGGAGAAACUUGAAGAACCAACUGUUGAAGAGAAACCUGAAAAACCACUGAUUGAAGAAACACCUGAAGAACCAACAUGGGAAGAAACACCUAAAGAACUAGCAUUUGAAGAGAAACCAGAAGAACCAGCAGUUGAAGAGGAGAAACCUGAAAAGGUAACUCUUAUGGAAGAG
Molecule: long non-coding RNA, 1723 nt
Filed under: Nicotiana tabacum (common tobacco)
Lineage: Eukaryota; Viridiplantae; Streptophyta; Magnoliopsida; Solanales; Solanaceae
Description: long non-coding RNA (NTAB_LNC000540)
Source: RNAcentral